RNAcentral lists this ribosomal RNA (473 nucleotides) under uncultured bacterium. RNAcentral describes it as "partial 16S ribosomal RNA". It matches the Rfam family "Bacterial small subunit ribosomal RNA", at positions 30 to 543 of the family's 1533-position model. The record is from RNAcentral.
AGCGAACGCUGGCGGCAGGCCUAACACAUGCAAGUCGAACGAACUCUUCGGAGUUAGUGGCGGACGGGUGAGUAACACGUGGGAACGUGCCUUUUGGUUCGGAAUAACUCAGGGAAACUUGUGCUAAUACCGAAUGUGCCCUUCGGGGGAAAGAUUUAUCGCCAUUAGAGCGGCCCGCGUCUGAUUAGCUAGUUGGUGAGGUAACGGCUCACCAAGGCGACGAUCAGUAGCUGGUCUGAGAGGAUGACCAGCCACACUGGGACUGAGACACGGCCCAGACGCGUGGGGGAGGCGGCAGGGGGGGAGCGUGAGAAGGGGGAGAGCGCGGGGCGGCGCAAGGGCGAGUGAUCGGAGAAGGACGGAGAGUUCAAAAAGUCUGCCAGCGGGGAAAAGAAGGGGGGGACCGGAGGCGGAAGCCGCGGCGAAGUCCGUGGCAGCAGCGGCGGUAUAAUGGGAAGAGCAGGUGUCGGCCC